This 634-nucleotide ribosomal RNA is filed under the name Paraburkholderia sp. RNAcentral's name for it is "bacterial SSU rRNA". It matches the Rfam family "Bacterial small subunit ribosomal RNA", at positions 119 to 749 of the family's 1533-position model. The record is from RNAcentral. Lineage: Bacteria; Pseudomonadati; Pseudomonadota; Betaproteobacteria; Burkholderiales; Burkholderiaceae.
CGGAACGUGUCCUGUAGUGGGGGAUAGCCCGGCGAAAGCCGGAUUAAUACCGCAUACGCUCUACGGAGGAAAGGGGGGGAUCGCAAGACCUCUCGCUACAGGGGCGGCCGAUGGCAGAUUAGCUAGUUGGUGGGGUAAAGGCCUACCAAGGCGACGAUCUGUAGCUGGUCUGAGAGGACGACCAGCCACACUGGGACUGAGACACGGCCCAGACUCCUACGGGAGGCAGCAGUGGGGAAUUUUGGACAAUGGGCGCAAGCCUGAUCCAGCAAUGCCGCGUGUGUGAAGAAGGCCUUCGGGUUGUAAAGCACUUUUGUCCGGAAAGAAAUCCUUUGGGCUAAUACCCUGAGGGGAUGACGGUACCGGAAGAAUAAGCACCGGCUAACUACGUGCCAGCAGCCGCGGUAAUACGUAGGGUGCAAGCGUUAAUCGGAAUUACUGGGCGUAAAGCGUGCGCAGGCGGUUCGCUAAGACAGAUGUGAAAUCCCCGGGCUUAACCUGGGAACUGCAUUUGUGACUGGCGGGCUAGAGUAUGGCAGAGGGGGGUAGAAUUCCACGUGUAGCAGUGAAAUGCGUAGAGAUGUGGAGGAAUACCGAUGGCGAAGGCAGCCCCCUGGGCCAAUACUGACGCUCA